UACGGAGGAUCCGAGCGUUAUCCGGAUUUAUUGGGUUUAAAGGGUGCGCAGGCGGGAGAUUAAGUCGGCGGUGAAAUUUUGCAGCUUAACUGUAAAAGUGCCUUCGAAACUGGUUUCCUUGAGUGUAGAUGAAGUAGGCGGAAUUUGUGGUGUAGCGGUGAAAUGCAUAGAUAUCACGAGGAACUCCGAUUGCGCAGGCAGCUUACUAAACUACUACUGACGCUCAGGCACGAAGGCGUGGGGAUCAAACAGGAUUAGAUACCCCGGUAGUCCCU
Molecule: ribosomal RNA, 275 nt
Filed under: uncultured prokaryote
Description: partial 16S ribosomal RNA
Rfam family: Bacterial small subunit ribosomal RNA
Source: RNAcentral